CCUGGGGCCCGCUCGACAGGUGCCCCCGGCCGAGAACGCUCGGGGGGGAGAAUAGGGAAGCCGGUGCGAAUCCGGCGCGGGGCCGCCGCUGUAAUCGGCGAGGCUUCGGACCACAGGGCCACUGCCCCUCGCGGGGCGGGAAGGUCGUCCGAGGCCGUUCGAGCCGAGAGCCAGAAGACCUGCCCGUCGAGAGCUGCGAGG
Non-coding RNA from Planctomycetales bacterium 71-10, 201 nucleotides. Lineage: Bacteria; Pseudomonadati; Planctomycetota; Planctomycetia; Planctomycetales. The record is from Rfam.